UACAGUGAAACUGCGGAUGGCUCAGUAAAACAGUGUGAAUCCCCAGGGCGGUUUCCGCGGUUGUCCCUUCGGGGGCGGUCGCUCUACAAGGAUAACUGUGGAAACUCCAGAGCUAAUACUUGAACCGGGUGGGGCAACCCACCGGGCUUAUCAGUCGCGCACGUCCGGCGUCAAACCCGGGCGUGUCUGGUGAAUCAUGGUAAACCCAGAUCGAAGAGCCGUACGGCGUCGACUCGCUCCUCGAGUCUCUGACCUAUCAGCCUUCGACGCUACUAUAAAGUACUAGCAGGGCAGUCACGGGUGACGGGGAAUUAGUGUUCGAUUCCGGAGAGGGAGCCUGAGAAAUGGCUACCAUGUCCAUGGACAGCAGCAGGCGCGCAAAUUACCCAAUCCUAAUGCAAGGGAGGUAGUGAAGAGAAAUACCGACGUCCCGCCCUGCGGGAGGUUCGGAAUGGUGACAAUUUAAACCACUUACAGAGUAUCGAUUGGAGGGCAAGUCUGGUGCCAGCAGCCGCGGUAAUUCCAGCUCCAAUAGUAUAUAUUAAAGUUGUUGCAGUUAAAAAGCUCGUAGUUGGCUCUUCGGGCGGGCCGGUCUCUGCGGGCGUCACCCGCGUCCGCGUCCCCGUCGGCUCCGGCCGUCGGACGGCGCGGCGCUUCAGGUGGCGCCCCUCGGCUUGGGCGACGGGCGUGGGGUCUGGGUUUACGCCCUCUCCUCCGCCCGCCGUCGGGUGCAGGGGCUUUCAAGAAUCCGAAACCGGCCGCAAGGUCGCAGUAGGGUUCGAGGUCCGCUCGAAAGUGGGGUCGCUCUCCCGGUUUCGGCCGGGGUCAAGGGGUCAGGCCUCAACGGCACCGUGAGGAAAUCACAGUGUUCAAAGCAGACGUUUUCGUUAGUGAGUGUCUUAGCAUGGUACGCCGGCGUUAGUUUUCCGGGCGUCGGCGCGUGGGGCGACUCACGCGUCGGCGUCCGGGGGACGUGGUUAAUGGGGGUCUGGUCGGGGGCGUCUGUAUUGUGUCGCGAGAGGUGAAAUUCAUAGACCGACGCAAGACAACCUGCUGCGAAAGCGCACGCCCAGCACGCCUCCAUCAAUCAGGAACGAAAGUUAGGGGAUCGAAGACGAUCAGAUACCGUCGUAGUCCUAACCAUAAACGAUACCGACCAGGGAUUGGGUUGUGAACACAAUUCAAGACCUUCCCAGAACCUUUGAGGGAAACCAUUGAGUCUUUGGGUUCUGGGGGGAGUAUGGUCGCAAGGCUGAAACUUAAAGGAAUUGACGGAAGGGCACCACCAGGAGUGGAACCUGCGGCUUAAUUUGAC
RNAcentral lists this ribosomal RNA (1315 nucleotides) under uncultured soil eukaryote. Its description in RNAcentral is "SSU rRNA". It matches the Rfam family "Eukaryotic small subunit ribosomal RNA", at positions 77 to 1199 of the family's 1831-position model. The record is from RNAcentral.